UGAGGAAUAUUGGUCAAUGGGCGAGAGCCUGAACCAGCCAAGUCGCGUGAGGGAAGACGGUCCUACGGAUUGUAAACCUCUUUGUCGGGGAGCAAUAAAGCGUACGCGUACGCAGAUGCGAGUACCCGAAGAAAAAGCAUCGGCUAACUCCGUGCCAGCAGCCGCGGUAAUACGGAGGAUGCGAGCGUUAUCCGGAUUUAUUGGGUUUAAAGGGUGCGCAGGCGGAAAGUGCAAGUCAGCGGUCAAACGACGGGGCUCAACCCCGUCUCGCCGUGCAAUCUGUCAUUUCUUAGAGUGAGCGAGAAGUAUGCGGAAUGCGUGGUGUAGCGGUGAAAUGCAUAGAUAUCACGCAGAACUCCGAUUGCGAAGGCAGCAUACCGGCGCUCAACUGACGCUCAUGCACGAAAGCGUGGGUAUCGAACAGAUUAGAUACC
RNAcentral lists this ribosomal RNA (434 nucleotides) under uncultured bacterium. RNAcentral's name for it is "bacterial SSU rRNA". It matches the Rfam family "Bacterial small subunit ribosomal RNA", at positions 355 to 786 of the family's 1533-position model. The record is from RNAcentral.